Trichoplusia ni (cabbage looper) is the source of this 586-nucleotide long non-coding RNA. RefSeq lists it as uncharacterized. NCBI's taxonomy places the organism in Eukaryota, Metazoa, Arthropoda, Insecta, Lepidoptera, Noctuidae. The transcript has 2 exons. The record is from RefSeq and is a predicted model, not a curated record.
AAUUGUCUGUUCUCUACAUGUCUGACCAUCUGUCUUCUAAAGUCUGAAAAGGUUUUUUUAUCUUUAAGAAUCCAGCAUAGAUUCUUACAGACAAAAAAGCUAGACUAGAAAAACAGAACAUUAGAUCAAGACAAUUUUUAUUCUAUUGACACGAUCCGAAGCAAAACCUUUUCCAAUUCCUCCAAAAAGUCUUUAACCUUUGCAUCUACAAAAAAACUCUAAACGUCAUCCAACAUUCUUAAUCUGUAGACGAUCUUCACGCAAUGUCAGAAGUAAGAACACAAUGCUAUACAAAAUUCAAAGAAAAAUGUUAUUAACAGUGAAUGGAUUACUUCUUUAUAUGAAAGCUUACAGCUGACGUUCAUGUGUUUCUGUAUCUGCUACCCUCGCAUGUGCUGCUACCCUUCCAUCCUGUGCCCCUGUUUAUCGUGCCUUCCCAUGUGCAUUAAAGGAAUGAAAUGCUGCCAGUGCUUAAUUCUUCAUUUAGAUGAUGAUAACGACGUUGUAAAGAAAGAAAGUAGAACCAAAGCAAUCCAGAAUAAGUCUAGUGCUCAAAACGUUACAAAAUAAUAAAGACUGUUUCAUC